Molecule: long non-coding RNA, 448 nt
Organism: Lycium ferocissimum
Lineage: Eukaryota; Viridiplantae; Streptophyta; Magnoliopsida; Solanales; Solanaceae
Exons: 2
Source: RefSeq, a predicted model, not a curated record
GAAUCAAUGAUCUUUGACCAAGUACAGGAUGUGUUCAUUUUUUUUAAGUAUAGUGAUCUGUUCAUUUUUUAGCAAGAAAUAGCACCAGCAAGCAGAAGCAAGUAGCAGCCUUAGGUAGCAGCAAUGAAUAACAGCAAAGUAGCACAAGGUGCAACAGGGAAGUGCCACAAAGUGAGUUUCAACAGCCACAAGAGUAACUGAGCAGUAGCCUAUAACAAUUGAGCAACAACCAACAAUAGUCAAACAAUGUCUAGCCAAAGUAAUGGCCCCAGAACCUGAAACCAAUAAGGCUCUUUUGCCUUCAAAGUGAUAUAUGGCAGUAGUAAUUCAGCCAGAUAAACAGCAAACCAUCGGUGGUAUGUUGUAGUAAACAACGAUAGCAACAGGCAGCCACAUAUAGCAACAGCCAUAUUCGUUUAUCAAGUGUGAUAUAUGUUCAUUUUUUCAA